This 446-nucleotide ribosomal RNA is filed under the name uncultured bacterium. RNAcentral's name for it is "partial 16S ribosomal RNA". It matches the Rfam family "Bacterial small subunit ribosomal RNA", at positions 338 to 795 of the family's 1533-position model. The record is from RNAcentral.
CCUACGGGGGGCAGCAGUCGAGAAUCAUUCACAAUGGGGGAAACCCUGAUGGGGCGACGCCGCGUGGGGGAAUGAAGGUCUGCGGAUUGUAAACCCCUGUCAUGUGGGAGCAAAUUAAAAAGAUAGUACCACAAGAGGAAGAGACGGCUAACUCUGUGCCAGCAGCCGCGGUAAUACAGAGGUCUCCAGCGUUGUUCGGAAUCACUGGGCGUAAAGGGUGCGUAGGCUGUUUCGUAAGUCGUGUGUGAAAGGCGCGGGCUCAACCCGCGGACGGCACAUGAUACUGCGAGACUAGAGUAAGGGAGGGGGAACCGGAAUUCUCGGUGUAGCCGUGAAAUGCGUAGAUAUCGAGAGGAACACUCGUGGCGAAGGCGGGUUCCUGGACAUUAACUGACGCUGAGGCACGAAAGCCAGGGGAGCGAAAAGGAUUAGAUACCCGUGUAGUC